AAAUAAGAAACAAUUAAUUGUAUUUAGUUUCGACCUAACCUUUGAUGAUAAUUUCAUCCUUAUUUA
Molecule: transfer RNA, 66 nt
Filed under: Tiniocellus sarawacus
Lineage: Eukaryota; Metazoa; Arthropoda; Insecta; Coleoptera; Scarabaeidae
Description: tRNA-Arg
Source: RNAcentral